Molecule: ribosomal RNA, 491 nt
Filed under: uncultured bacterium
Lineage: Bacteria
Description: bacterial SSU rRNA
Rfam family: Bacterial small subunit ribosomal RNA
Source: RNAcentral
AUGAACGCUAGCUACAGGCUUAACACAUGCAAGUCGAGGGCAGCAUGAACUUAGCUUGCUAAGUUUGAUGGCGACCGGCGCACGGGUGAGUAACGCGUAUGCAACUUACCUAUCAGAGGAGAAUAGCUCAUCGAAAGAUGAAUUAAUGCUCCCAUAAAAACAGGGGUCCCGCAUGGGAAUAUUUGUUAAAAGAUUCAUCGCUGAUAGAUAGGCAUGCGUUCCAUUAGGCAGUUGGCGGGGUAACGGCCCACCAAACCGACGAUGGAUAGGGGUUCUGAGAGGAAGGUCCCCCACAUUGGUACUGAGACACGGACCAAACUCCUACGGGAGGCAGCAGUGAGGAAUAUUGGUCAAUGGCCGAGAGGCUGAACCAGCCAAGUCGCGUGAAGGAUGAAGGAUCUAUGGUUUGUAAACUUCUUUUAUACGGGAAUAAAGUGAGUCACGUGUGAUUUUUGUAUGUACCGUAUGAAUAAGCAUCGGCUAACUCCGUG